GACAACUUGGCCGAGUGGUUAAGGCGACGCCCUGCUAAUUUGCGAAGGUUGCUCGAUCUUCAGAAGAUAGGCGUUGUCCUUUGGACGCGCAGGUUCGAAUCCUGCAGUUGUCG
Non-coding RNA from Coemansia sp. RSA 2052, 113 nucleotides. NCBI's taxonomy places the organism in Eukaryota, Fungi, Kickxellomycota, Kickxellomycetes, Kickxellales, Kickxellaceae. The record is from the annotation of a GenBank genome assembly.